Molecule: ribosomal RNA, 1402 nt
Filed under: Enterobacter sp. BW3
Lineage: Bacteria; Pseudomonadati; Pseudomonadota; Gammaproteobacteria; Enterobacterales; Enterobacteriaceae
Description: 16S ribosomal RNA
Rfam family: Bacterial small subunit ribosomal RNA
Source: RNAcentral
AGAUUGAACGCUGGCGGCAGGCCUAACACAUGCAAGUCGAGCGGUAGCACAGAGAGCUUGCUCUCGGGUGACGAGCGGCGGACGGGUGAGUAAUGUCUGGGAAACUGCCUGAUGGAGGGGGAUAACUACUGGAAACGGUAGCUAAUACCGCAUAACGUCGCAAGACCAAAGAGGGGGACCUUCGGGCCUCUUGCCAUCAGAUGUGCCCAGAUGGGAUUAGCUAGUAGGUGGGGUAAUGGCUCACCUAGGCGACGAUCCCUAGCUGGUCUGAGAGGAUGACCAGCCACACUGGAACUGAGACACGGUCCAGACUCCUACGGGAGGCAGCAGUGGGGAAUAUUGCACAAUGGGCGCAAGCCUGAUGCAGCCAUGCCGCGUGUAUGAAGAAGGCCUUCGGGUUGUAAAGUACUUUCAGCGAGGAGGAAGGCAUUGUGGUUAAUAACCACAGUGAUUGACGUUACUCGCAGAAGAAGCACCGGCUAACUCCGUGCCAGCAGCCGCGGUAAUACGGAGGGUGCAAGCGUUAAUCGGAAUUACUGGGCGUAAAGCGCACGCAGGCGGUCUGUCAAGUCGGAUGUGAAAUCCCCGGGCUCAACCUGGGAACUGCAUUCGAAACUGGCAGGCUAGAGUCUUGUAGAGGGGGGUAGAAUUCCAGGUGUAGCGGUGAAAUGCGUAGAGAUCUGGAGGAAUACCGGUGGCGAAGGCGGCCCCCUGGACAAAGACUGACGCUCAGGUGCGAAAGCGUGGGGAGCAAACAGGAUUAGAUACCCUGGUAGUCCACGCCGUAAACGAUGUCGACUUGGAGGUUGUUCCCUUGAGGAGUGGCUUCCGGAGCUAACGCGUUAAGUCGACCGCCUGGGGAGUACGGCCGCAAGGUUAAAACUCAAAUGAAUUGACGGGGGCCCGCACAAGCGGUGGAGCAUGUGGUUUAAUUCGAUGCAACGCGAAGAACCUUACCUACUCUUGACAUCCAGAGAACUUAGCAGAGAUGCUUUGGUGCCUUCGGGAACUCUGAGACAGGUGCUGCAUGGCUGUCGUCAGCUCGUGUUGUGAAAUGUUGGGUUAAGUCCCGCAACGAGCGCAACCCUUAUCCUUUGUUGCCAGCGGUUCGGCCGGGAACUCAAAGGAGACUGCCAGUGAUAAACUGGAGGAAGGUGGGGAUGACGUCAAGUCAUCAUGGGCCCUUACGAGUAGGGCUACACACGUGCUACAAUGGCGCAUACAAAGAGAAGCGACCUCGCGAGAGCAAGCGGACCUCAUAAAGUGCGUCGUAGUCCGGAUUGGAGUCUGCAACUCGACUCCAUGAAGUCGGAAUCGCUAGUAAUCGUAGAUCAGAAUGCUACGGUGAAUACGUUCCCGGGCCUUGUACACACCGCCCGUCACACCAUGGGAGUGGGUUGCA